UACAGAGGGUGCAAGCGUUAAUCGGAAUUACUGGGCGUAAAGCGUGCGUAGACGGUCAUGUAAGUCGGGUGUGAAAGCCCCGGGCUCAACCUGGGAAUUGCAUUCGAGACUGCAUGGCUAGGAUGCGGAAGAGGGAAGCGGAAUUUCCGGUGUAGCGGUGAAAUGCGUAGAUAUCGGGAGGAACACCAGUGGCGAAGGCGGCGACCUGGGCCAAUACUGACGCUGAGGUGCGAAAGCGUGGGGAGCAAACAGG
RNAcentral lists this ribosomal RNA (253 nucleotides) under uncultured bacterium. Its description in RNAcentral is "partial 16S ribosomal RNA". It matches the Rfam family "Bacterial small subunit ribosomal RNA", at positions 524 to 776 of the family's 1533-position model. The record is from RNAcentral.